RNAcentral lists this ribosomal RNA (396 nucleotides) under uncultured bacterium. Its description in RNAcentral is "partial 16S ribosomal RNA". It matches the Rfam family "Bacterial small subunit ribosomal RNA", at positions 523 to 918 of the family's 1533-position model. The record is from RNAcentral.
AUACGUAGGGAGCGAGCGUUGUCCGGAAUUACUGGGUGUAAAGGGUGCGUAGGCGGGACUGCAAGUCAGAUGUGAAAUGCCGGGGCUCAACCCCGGAGCUGCAUUUGAAACUGUGGUUCUUGAGUGAGGUAGAGGUAAGCGGAAUUCCUAGUGUAGCGGUGAAAUGCGUAGAUAUUAGGAGGAACAUCGGUGGCGAAGGCGGCUUACUGGGCCUUUACUGACGCUGAGGCACGAAAGCGUGGGGAGCAAACAGGAUUAGAUACCCUGGUAGUCCACGCUGUAAACGAUGAUGACUAGGUGUGGGGGGACUGAACCCUUCCGUGCCGCAGUUAACACAAUAAGUCAUCCACCUGGGGAGUACGACCGCAAGGUUGAAACUCAAAGGAAUUGGCGGGG